AUUGAACGCUGGCGGAAUGCUUUACACAUGCAAGUCGAGCGGCAGCGCGGGGGCAACCCUGGCGGCGAGCGGCGAACGGGUGAGUAACAUAUCGGAACGUACCCAGUCGUGGGGGAUAACUAUCCGAAAGGAUAGCUAAUACCGCAUACGUCCUGAGGGAGAAAGCGGGGGAUCGCAAGACCUCGCGCGAUUGGAGCGGCCGAUAUCGGAUUAGCUAGUUGGUGGGGUAAAGGCUCACCAAGGCGACGAUCCGUAGCGGGUCUGAGAGGACGACCCGCCACACUGGAACUGAGACACGGUCCAGACUCCUACGGGAGGCAGCAGUGGGGAAUUUUGGACAAUGGGCGCAAGCCUGAUCCAGCCAUGCCGCGUGAGUGAAGAAGGCCUCGGUUGU
Molecule: ribosomal RNA, 394 nt
Filed under: uncultured bacterium
Lineage: Bacteria
Description: bacterial SSU rRNA
Rfam family: Bacterial small subunit ribosomal RNA
Source: RNAcentral